Molecule: transfer RNA, 79 nt
Filed under: Methylobacterium sp. Leaf469
Lineage: Bacteria; Pseudomonadati; Pseudomonadota; Alphaproteobacteria; Hyphomicrobiales; Methylobacteriaceae
Description: tRNA-Met
Source: RNAcentral
GCGCCCGAUGGGGAUUUGACGUAGCGCGGACCCGCUCAUAACGGUCUGGUUGCAGGUUCGAGUCCUGCCGGGCCCACCA